CGCUUACCACUUUGUGAUUCAUGACUGGGGUGAAGUCGUAACAAGGUAACCGUAGGGGAACCUGCGGUUGGAUCACCUCCUUACCU
This 86-nucleotide ribosomal RNA is filed under the name Serratia odorifera. Its description in RNAcentral is "partial 16S ribosomal RNA". It matches the Rfam family "Bacterial small subunit ribosomal RNA", at positions 1451 to 1533 of the family's 1533-position model. The record is from RNAcentral. RNAcentral also lists the same sequence under 9 other names. Lineage: Bacteria; Pseudomonadati; Pseudomonadota; Gammaproteobacteria; Enterobacterales; Yersiniaceae.